ACUCAUUCAUCUCUAGCCUUGUACAUUUUAAGUUCAUGUUUCGAAUUAUUAACUGUGAUAUUGUUCUUUUGUAUUUUUGAAUUAUGACUGUUAUGAACUUCUCAAAGAACAUAACUACAAAUAUGAAUUAUGAUUGAUCUUCCAUUAAUGGAAACUCAGUACAUAGAAUUAGAGAAUACAAAGAUAGACUUUAACAUAAAUGAGGACAGUGACAGAAAGAAAGGAUAAGGGGGGAGGCAGAUUCACAGAUGAAAUAGAGAUGAGGGAUAAAUAGACCAGAGAGAGGAUAUGUUUCUAACAAAUUCAGCUUCCCCUCAUAAUGCCCGUAUACUCUGCUAUUUAACUAAUAGUCUUUGGAGAGGCCUUGUUGUUCUCUUGCUUUCCCAGACCGGCCCAAUACUUGCAUUCUCAUCUGGCCCAACAUCUAUCUAAAGCCCAGCUUCAUUUUCUAUCAUAACAUUACCCCGUCCUCAAUAAGAACCUUGUCCUCAAGGUUCGACACAAGAAAUCCUUCAAUAAAGGAUAAUGGUAAACUAGUUGUAGCUAGAUAAACAUUCACAUGUAUAAGGCCUAGCUGGACAGUCCACUUGCAUAUCAAAAAGAAAUCAGCAGCCCCAUGUGUGCCAGCAACCCUAGUGCGGAAAAUGAUAUUUACUGCAGCGGCAUCAAUAACUAACACGAAACUUGCUAUACAUAUUUCUAUGGCGAGCUCAUCUCUAUCACAUGUAGGAAGGAGAACAAGAACCCCCUCUAUAACAAGGGCACGCUGUGCUUCUAGCAAGGCAACAAAUGCUGGGCAGUUUCUGUGGCUGCCCUUUUUCUCCAGUAUGUCAACCCAUAGGUCCAUUGUAAUUAGCUGUUCAUUUGUUCUCCUACUCAAAGUGCUGAAACGCCCCUCCAUAGACUCAACUACGCCAUUAAAUUCAGGACGAAGCUCUAGAGUUUCAAACAUCCCCAAACAAUCAGUGGAGUCAAUAUUUCUACUCCCUUUUAUUUUUCUCCGCAACUCACCUAGUGCACCAUUAACUCUAAUGCUACCUAUAGAAUGUGAUUUAUAAGGGAAUAAAAACCAAAAUAUGACAAGCCAUAUUCUAACUUGGUAAAUUCAUGAAUACUUGUUUUCCAAUCUUGAAGAUCAAGGGUGUCAACAGAGAGAGGUGCAUUGUAUAUAAAUAGCGUAGCUAUGGCAUUUAAGGUUGCUUCAAAGACACCAUCUCUGGCUUCAAGAAUUGGUACAUCCAAAGGGCCUCCUCCCGGAUCGAAGACUACAUGCAUUUCAAAAGUAACUUGGGCUCUCGGAUUUACCCCCGUUUUCCCAGCUAUGACAAUUUGAAGGACUUGUGCAGUUCCUUCUCUGUGAAAUUGUCCAGCAACAUUUAGAACUAAACCAAGAUGUGGAGCAUUAAAGUCAGUUGUUGGCCUAGUAAAAUAGCGAGCGCAAUAAUGAUGAUGCAACGAGUGCCCUAUGGAAUCCCACACAUGAGUCAUAGGGUUAGCAUAUACGAAGAAGAAAAACAUGCAAGUAGAUCCCAUCAAUGGCAGUGUCUCCAUAUUCACUGUAUAACCCAUUUGAUACUUGGACUUGAAAUGUAUUCCUGGAUUAAAUGGAAAUUGAGUCGAAAGAAGUUGGUCAAUAAAAGUGGUAUUAGUACGACAAGAUGAUUUCUCUGGAAUUACCUUGAAAUUGACCACAACUAUGGUCGAAUAAUCCUUACAAGUGUUGUCGAAUUUCAUUGAGAAAGCAAUAUGUGGUACACUCACCAUCAUUAGAAUACCUUCAUCUUUUCCAUGCUCAACAUCAAGUAUUGUUUCAUUCGAAGGCAUUUCACCUGGUGGAAUCUCAUCCUCAUUCUCCGUAAAAAAGUUAGCAAGAUAUAGAUUAACAAUAGUCUCACGCUCCAUAAAAAAAUCAGCAAGAUAUAGGUCAUCCCAGGUCUCACAAUUAAUGUGUUGUUCACUAGAGCCACGAUCAAGAGAAGAUGCAGUAACAUACCUCUCUGACAUAUCUCUAUGAACACUUUUAUCAAACUGUUGGACUUCGCUGCUUGUAGGACCUGUAGCUUCUAAAUCAGGUAUGUCGAUUGGAGCAUCUGAUUGUGCGUCGACCAGUAAAUUGGGGCAGCAGCUAUAUAACAUUGCGUCGAACACCUUAGGUGACUGAUAAUCGUCCAACUCGGGUACAAAGUGAGAGACAUAAGCAUUUGUUUCUGUGCUUUGGCACGUUGUUGUAACAAAAGAAUAUUCCUCUUCUGUUCUGGCGAAAAGUCCAUGUGACAUUUCAUCAAACACAUGCUUGGCCUCUGAGUUACCAACUUUGAAUGCAGAUUCUAACUCAUAGAAGUUGGAAUUAUGGCGUAAAUCAGCUAAAGGAGAUACCUGAGUCUUAGACGAAUUCAAAGUAGAGUGGCUAAUGUAGCUAUGAUACGCCAAGGAUGAAUCGGCAAGCCUCCUCUUCGAAUCUAUGACAGGUAGUUUCCGAAAUCGCAAAAACAAUUUCUCCUUGAAAUGGUUCCAAUCAUAGAAUUGUUUGUUGCGAAAGAGCCAAUCAAACCAAUUGAGGGCAUCACCUUCCAGGUAAAAAUAUGGAAGAGGUAACCAAUCUUCUUCGGAGAAACCCAGAAAUUUGAAGUAACGCUCCGCCCGAUAAACUCAGCCCUCUGGGUUGCCAUUGCUGAACUUAUCCAGUAUCACCACUGCCAUUGGAGUCCAAAUCGAUGAAAGCACCAAUGUUAUGAACUUCUCAAAGAACACAACUACAAAUAUGAAUUAUGAUUGAUCUUCCAUUAAUGGAAACUCAGCACAUAGAAUUAGAGAAUACAAAGAUAGACUUUAACAUAAAUGAGGACAGUGACAGAAAGAAAGGAUGGCGGGGGGGGGGGGGGGAGGGCAGAUUCACAGAAGAAAUAGAGAUGAGGGAUAAAUAGACGAGAGAGAGGAUAGGUUUCUAACAAAUUCAGCUUCCUCUCAUAAUGCCCGUAUACUCUGCUAUUUAACUAAUAGUCUUUGGAGAGACCUUGUUGUUCUCUUGCUUUCCCAGACCGGCCCAAUACUUGCAUUCUCAUCUGGCCCAACAUCUAUCUAAAGCCCAGCUUCAUUUUCUAUCAUAACAAUGACGUCGGUUAUUUUUGGAUUUGAACUACGAUGUCAGCUGUUUUAGAAUUUUGAACUAU
RNAcentral lists this long non-coding RNA (3170 nucleotides) under Nicotiana tabacum (common tobacco). RNAcentral's name for it is "long non-coding RNA (NTAB_LNC018423)". Lineage: Eukaryota; Viridiplantae; Streptophyta; Magnoliopsida; Solanales; Solanaceae. The record is from RNAcentral.